CGACCGGAUGCGGAUCUCGAAAGCCUGUCCCAGUUCGGACUGGAGUCUGNAACCCGACUCCACGAAGUUGGAUUCGCUAGUAAUCGCGCAUCAGCCAUGGCGCGGUGAAUACGUUCCCGGGCCUUGUACACACCGCCCGUCAAGCCAUGGGAGCCGGGGGCGCCUGAAGUCCGGGACCGCGAGGACCGGCCUAGGGCGAAACUGGUAACUGGGGCUAAGUCGUAACAAGGUAUC
This 234-nucleotide ribosomal RNA is filed under the name uncultured bacterium. RNAcentral's name for it is "partial 16S ribosomal RNA". It matches the Rfam family "Bacterial small subunit ribosomal RNA", at positions 1258 to 1500 of the family's 1533-position model. The record is from RNAcentral.